UUGGUCAUUCUUUCAUAAAACGCCGUCGUCGCACAAACACGUUCGCGGAUCCGCGAUAAACUGUUCUAAUUUAGUGGUUAACUGUUAUAAUCAACUGGUAUACUGUAUACAAAAAAGCAGUGUUGUCUCGUCUUUGCGAUUACGCCGUUCAGUUUUUAGCACAGCGCCGCUCCCCUCGCCCUUACCAACGCCGCGUAGAGGCAAACGAAAGAGAGAAAGAAAAAAUAAAAAAAUCAUUGAAUAUUUUAUGCCGUCUUUCGUCGGGAAUCAAACGGUCAAACGGUGUACACGCACUCGGAGGUGCGCUUAAAUCAAUCAAUAAAGCAUAUAAAAAAUUCCAAUAAGAAAUCGUCUACUGCAAAUCUCAAAUCAGAAAAUACAUACCACUUGUGUGUGCAAUUUCAAUGCGAAAAGUGCCAAUCACCUGUGUAAAUUUUUCUCAUAAUAUUUUAUUGGUAUUGUAUUUUUUGCGGUGGCACAAGUGCAUGUGAGUGUGUUGGUGUGUGAACAAGCGGUGGAGCACAGUGACGGUCGGCCUAUCAAAUGAGCCACAGACCCAAAAGCCAUAUAAGAAAAUAAGUGAUAGAUGAUGAAAAUAACACAACAGUAGUGAAGUAAAACGACACAAUUGCUACAACAACAACAACAACAUAAGCAGCAAGCAAAGAAAUCUGCAAAUUACAAAAGAGCGCAAAAGAAAACACCUUAAAAAAUAAAGUGCAAAGUGGCAAAAGUAUCAGAGUGUGUAAGUGUGUGUGGAACGAAUAAGCAAACCAAAAAAAAAAAAAAGAACGGCGAUACAACAACAACAAAUGUAAAUAUUACAGACAACAAACGCCGCAAAACGUCAACAACUUCGCAAAAGCAGCAGUAAGCAGCCAAAAAAAUAACUUUUUAAACGCUACAACUUUUAAUGGUUACACUCUUUAUUGACCAUUGGAUACUAAAAUAGUCAAAAGACUUUUCGUGUCAUUUAAACCAGCCGAUAGAGAAAUUAAUAAGUGAUCCAUUAUUCCACACAACAGCAGGAUUCCUUAAAAGCUAUCGAACCGUUUUUUUCGUGUGGAUUUAGAGCAUCGAGCAGAUUUAAUCAACGUGUGCCCAUGGAAUCAAGUGGAUUAAGUAGUAAACAACCAAC
Molecule: long non-coding RNA, 1138 nt
Organism: Stomoxys calcitrans (stable fly)
Lineage: Eukaryota; Metazoa; Arthropoda; Insecta; Diptera; Muscidae
Exons: 4
Source: RefSeq, a predicted model, not a curated record